UUGUCACUCAUGUUAUAAAUUCAAGUCAGUCGGGGGCUGUAAGCUCUCGUCUACACCCAUGUCUUUUGCGUACUCUUGUUUCCUCGGUGGCGCAAGCUGCCGAUUGGACAAACCAAAACCUUUUUUGUAAUUGCAAUCAGCGUCUGAAAAUAAUCUAAUUAUUUACAACUUUCAACAACGGAUCUCUUGGUUCUGGCAUCGAUGAAGAACGCAGCGAAAUGCGAUAAGUAGUGUGAAUUGCAGAAUUCAGUGAAUCAUCGAAUCUUUGAACGCACAUUGCGCCCCUUGGUAUUCCAUGGGGCAUGCCUGUUCGAGCGUCAUUUGUACCCUCAAGCUUUGCUUGGUGUUGGGCGUCUUGUCGUAUUACGACUCGCCUUAAAUCUAUUGGCAGCCGGCACUUUGGCCUAGGAGCGCAGCACAUUUUGCGAUCGUAGCCCGUUGUACUGGCGUCCAUCAAGAACAUUUACCACGUUUGACCUCGGAUCAGGUAGGGAUACCCGCUGAACUUAAGCAUAUCAAUAAGCGGAGGAAGGAUCAUUAUCAAAGUCAAGUCGGGGGCUGUAAAGCUCUCGUCUACACCCAUGUCUUUUGCGUACUCUUGUUUCCUCGGUGGCGCAAGCUGCCGAUUGGACAAACCAAAACCUUUUUUGUAAUUCAAUCAGCGUCUGAAAAUAAUCUAAUUAUUUAAACUUUCACAACGGAUCUCUUGGUUCGGCAUCAUGAAGAAGCACGAAAUGCGAUAAGUGUGUGAAAUGCGAAUUAUGAAUCAUCAAUCUUUGAACGCCAUUGCGCCCUUGGUAUUCAUGGGGGCAUACUGUUCAGCGUCAUUUGCUACCUCAAGCUUUGCUUGGGUGUUGGGCUCUUGUGUAUAGGACUCCUUAAAUUCAUGGCAGCCGCCCUUUGGCGUAAGAGCCAGCAAGUUUUGGCAUCGUAGCCGAUGUACUGGCUCAUCAGAACUUUGCAUUUGGACUCCGAUCGGUAUGAGAUAUCCGCACUGACACAUUGAGCA
This 1009-nucleotide ribosomal RNA is filed under the name fungal sp. NIS2. RNAcentral describes it as "eukaryotic LSU rRNA". The stretch from base 167 to 320 matches the Rfam family "5.8S ribosomal RNA". The record is from RNAcentral. Lineage: Eukaryota; Fungi.